AAACCCUACUUAAUUUUGGGGAAACCUUCACGUAUUUUUUUUCCUUCCCGAAAGCGGGAAAACCCUUACACAGGGUCCCAAAAAUGUCUCUGUCGUUCUCUUCUCUCUACCAUGGGCUCAUACAGACUGUUGCCCUUUAAUUCCGGAGAUGUAUUUGAAGAAACCCAUUCUUUAGUUUAGCAAUCUGGGUACCAUGUCGACAUAUCAAAUCUUCUGAGGCAAGGUAAUUUAUUGGUAGUUUCUGCUUUUUAAUUGAAAAGAUAUAAUGGAAACAUCUACGAUAAAAUCCAAGAUUUCCGGAAGUACAAAUGAAGGGAUUGACAGAAUAAGCUAUUUGCCAGAUGAUAUACUCCACACCAUGCUUUCAUCUCUCUGUAUUUUUGAUGUGCAUCAGUUGCGUCUGUUGUCAAGAAGAUGGAAAUACAUAUGGGCUACUAUGCCUAACUUGCACUUUGAUAUUGAUACAUUUUAUUCAGAACGGCCUUAUUGUGAUUACACUACGGUUCAGAAAUUCAAAGACUUUAUCAAUUGGGUCUUAAUUUCCCAAAGCGCCAAUAUUAAACUUGUGCAGUUUCUUCUCUGUUGUGGCAAUAUUUUUGAUAAGUUUGCUAUUUUGCGAUGGAUUCAUUUGACAACAAGGCGAAAUGUUCAAGAGCUUGUAUUGAGCUUUAAUCUUGGUGAGCCGUUUGAGUUACCAUAUAGUCUAGUCACUUGUGAAUCUUUGCAAGUUCUGAAAUUAUACUUAUAUGGUGAUGUACUUAAACUGCCUAGUCAUUUUGGAUUUCAUCAGCUGAAAUUCCUUCAUCUUGAGCGAGUCGAGUUAUCAGACCAGCAUUUGACAAGUUGCUUGUUCUCAAAAUCCCAUCUCCUCGAAACUUUGAUCUUAGUAAAUUUUAGUCUAGGACCCGUGACACUACUUGAUAUUGCUUCAACAUCUCUUAUUUAUGUUGCUUUACGAAAUGGUCAUCAUGAUGUGAAGAGUUGUGGCAAUUGUGAAGUCAAAAUUUGUUGCCCCAAUCUCAAGUUCUUCAAAUAUAAAGCUCCAAUGCCAAAGGAUAUAAUCGUCGAGAAUCUCUUUUCAAUAGAAGCUGUUUCCAUCUUCUGUACUUAUUUAAACAGCUCAUUUGAAGAAAUUGGCAUACUUGUGCAUAAGAUGAUGAAGCAGGUUCCUUCUAUAUCAGCCUUGAAGCUAUGCAUGCCCUCCAUUUCGUUUUCAAAAAACUCUCGUUUGUUUUUUGCUGCUGUAAAGUAUGCAUCAUGCAGCUCGCACAGUAAGACUCUCUCCAGUCUCUUUUUAUAAGCUGAAGUCCUUGAGACUGGACGUGGAAGUUGAUGAAGAGUUAAUGCAAGUUAUGAUAUUAUUGCUCAAGAGUUCUCCUAAUCUGGAAGUUCUUAAAUUGUGGUCCGAUGAGGCGCAAGAGAUCAGGUAAACAGGGAUCAUUAGGAUAAAUUUACCUGGAUUAAUGAGGGGAUAGAUGUUUUAGAUGACCUGAGAUGAGUAAGAUGUUCGGUGGAUGGAUGGCAUGGUUUGAAUAGUAUUUACCACGGUGUGAAACAUGAACAGAUCACGAGAAAUCACUAUUGAAUGAGUGACUCCAAGGGAUAAAAGAAAAUUUUCAAUGAGAAGGAAAUGGUGCAAAUCAUUUUGAUAGUGAAUCUUGUUUGACAUUUUCGCUUCUAAUGGAGGAAAUGGUUGCUUAUGCUGCUGAAUGUUUGCUUAUUGUUAUUUUUUGUUUUUUCAAUAUAAUACUGUGCUCGAGGAAGUGGUUUCUCCUCUGACUCUCAAGUGUCUGCUAGAAUGAUGGAGGCUGGAGUGAGAAUUGGCAGAUGUG
Nicotiana attenuata is the source of this 1832-nucleotide RNA transcript. It is a transcript of the gene named F-box/FBD/LRR-repeat protein At3g26920-like, with no coding region annotated. NCBI's taxonomy places the organism in Eukaryota, Viridiplantae, Streptophyta, Magnoliopsida, Solanales, Solanaceae. The transcript has 3 exons. The record is from RefSeq and is a predicted model, not a curated record.